UACGUAGGGGGCAAGCGUUGUUCGGAAUUACUGGGCGUACAGGGCUCGUAGGCGGCCAACUAAGUCAGACGUGAAAUCCCUCAGCUUAACUGGGGAACUGCGUCUGAUACUGGAUGGCUUGGAUUCGGGAGAGGAAUGCGGAAUUCCAGGUGUAGCGGUGAAAUGCGUAGAUAUCUGGAGGAACACCGGUGGCGAAGGCGGCAUUCUGGACCGAUAUUGACGCUGAGGAGCGAAAGCCAGGGGAGCAAACGGG
This 253-nucleotide ribosomal RNA is filed under the name uncultured bacterium. Its description in RNAcentral is "partial 16S ribosomal RNA". It matches the Rfam family "Bacterial small subunit ribosomal RNA", at positions 524 to 776 of the family's 1533-position model. The record is from RNAcentral.